GUCAGGAGGAGCGGCUCACCAGAAAUUUGAUCACGGCGUUGCGUAAAAAGAGAAAUAAACCGCGUGGCAUUUAAAAAGACAAAAACGUCUUGUUGCCUCGUUUUCAAGUACCAAACAACACGCAGUUUAUAUCUCUAUCAGAUUUCUGUUUUGUUCUUCGUCACUCACUCUGGGUCUCCUCUCUGACCAAUCCCAAAGCAAAAGAGCUUCUGCGAUCUUUCAUCCUCCUCUGGUUUCGUAUCUAAUCUGAUUUGAGGGAAGGAGAUGGGUUUCAUAAUGGAGUUCGCGGAGAAUCUGGUGCUGAGGUUGAUGGAGGAUCCGGAGGUGAGAGACAGGAAAGCGAGGGAGCACAUAUAUGAGAUGCACGAGAGGUGCAAGAAGAUUAAGGAGAUGUGGGCUUUGCCUAUUCGUCCUUAUGGUUUCUGGACUUUUGAGCGCCACAACGCUCAGCUUCGUUGGGAUCCUCAGAUCAGUCAGGUUGCUGGUCGCAGGGACCCUUAUGAUGAUCUCCUUCAGGACCAUCCUUCUUCCUCUUCUUCCUCAAACUAAUCAAACAAUUGCAGAAGAUGUGUUGUGAUGAUGUCUGGAUAGAUGGUCUCUGUUUCAAUUCCCGAUUGUACGAAGCGUGGUACAAACUCAAUAAUAAUAAUCACUCUUAGACUUGUUUACAAACGAGAGAGGAGUAUACUCUCAUUGUUUCGUAGUAAAGUUGUUUGAUUCUCCAUUCGCAUCUUUGAAUAUAAAUAUACUUUCCGAA
This is an RNA transcript of Brassica napus (rape), 757 nucleotides long. RefSeq lists it as uncharacterized. The transcript has 3 exons. Lineage: Eukaryota; Viridiplantae; Streptophyta; Magnoliopsida; Brassicales; Brassicaceae. The record is from RefSeq and is a predicted model, not a curated record.